RNAcentral lists this ribosomal RNA (442 nucleotides) under uncultured bacterium. RNAcentral describes it as "partial 16S ribosomal RNA". It matches the Rfam family "Bacterial small subunit ribosomal RNA", at positions 338 to 795 of the family's 1533-position model. The record is from RNAcentral.
CCUACGGGAGGCAGCAGUGGGGAAUAUUGGGCAAUGGGCGCAAGCCUGACCCAGCAACGCCGCGUGAAGGAAGAAGGCUUUCGGGGUGUAAACUUCUUUUGUCAGGGAAGAGUAGAAGACGGUACCUGACGAAUAAGCCACGGCUAACUACGUGCCAGCAGCCGCGGUAAGAGGUAGGUGGCAAGAGUUGUCCGGAUUUACUGGGUGUAAAGGGCGUGUAGCCGGGUUGACAAGUCAGAUGGGAAAUCCUGCGGCUUAACCGCAGAACGUCAUUUGAAGCUGUUGAUCUUGAGUACUGGAGAGGCAGACGGAAUUCCUAGUGUAGCGGUGAAAUGCGUAGAUAUUAGGAGGAACACCAGUGGCGAAGGCGGUCUGCUGGACAGCAACUGACGGUGAGGCGCGAAAGUGUGGGGAGCAAACAGGAUUAGAUACCCGAGUAGUC